RNAcentral lists this ribosomal RNA (483 nucleotides) under uncultured bacterium. Its description in RNAcentral is "partial 16S ribosomal RNA". It matches the Rfam family "Bacterial small subunit ribosomal RNA", at positions 30 to 507 of the family's 1533-position model. The record is from RNAcentral.
UUGAACGCUGGCGGCAGGCCUAACACAUGCAAGUCGAGCGGAUGAAGGGAGCUUGCUCCUGGAUUCAGCGGCGGACGGGUGAGUAAUGCCUAGGAAUCUGCCUGGUAGUGGGGGAUAACGUCCGGAAACGGGCGCUAAUACCGCAUACGUCCUGAGGGAGAAAGUGGGGGAUCUUCGGACCUCACGCUAUCAGAUGAGCCUAGGUCGGAUCAGCUAGUUGGUGGGGUAAAGGCCUACCAAGGCGACGAUCCGUAACUGGUCUGAGAGGAUGAUCAGUCACACUGGAACUGAGACACGGUCCAGACUCCUACGGGAGGCAGCAGUGGGGAAUAUUGGACAAUGGGCGAAAGCCUGAUCCAGCCAUGCCGCGUGUGUGAAGAAGGUCUUCGGAUUGUAAAGCACUUUAAGUUGGGAGGAAGGGCAGUAAGUUAAUACCUUGCUGUUUUGACGUUACCAACAGAAUAAGCACCGGCUAACUUCGUG